CGCGUAGGUGGUAGUGCAAGUCUGAGGUGGAAUCCUAUGGCUUAACCAUAGAACUGCCUUGGAAACUGCAUUACUUGAGUCAGUGAGGGGAGGGUAGAAUUCCUGGUGUAGCGGUGAAAUGCGUAGAUAUCAGGAGGAAGGCCGGUAGCGAAGGCGGCCCUCUGGCGCUGAACUGACACUGAGGCGCGAAAGCGUGGGGAGCAAACAGGAUUAGAUACCCUGGUAGUCCACGCCCUAAACGGUGGGUACUAGGUGUAGGGCUCGUAAGGGUUCUGUGCCGAAGCGAAAGCAUUAAGUACCCCGCCUGGGGAGUACGGCCGCAAGGUUGAA
This 330-nucleotide ribosomal RNA is filed under the name uncultured bacterium. Its description in RNAcentral is "bacterial SSU rRNA". It matches the Rfam family "Bacterial small subunit ribosomal RNA", at positions 568 to 898 of the family's 1533-position model. The record is from RNAcentral.